Long non-coding RNA from Salvia miltiorrhiza (redroot sage), 625 nucleotides. RefSeq lists it as uncharacterized. Lineage: Eukaryota; Viridiplantae; Streptophyta; Magnoliopsida; Lamiales; Lamiaceae. The transcript is spliced from 2 exons. The record is from RefSeq and is a predicted model, not a curated record.
AUAUGCUAAGCAUGACAUGAAAUUGCAUUUAUACUUGCAAUAAAAGUAUUUAAUUGGUUUUAAUUAUAAUUCCAAUUUUUAAGAAAAUCGAGUAAGGAUAUUGUUGGUGUCCUUAACUCAAGAAUUUAGUUUUCAAUUAUUUAUUUACUAAAUUUUGGAAACCCGGCGUGAUGAAUCAAGUAUGUUUAGUACAUCCACUAAGACUUUAAGUUAGCUUCACGAGACCUAUUAAGAAUAGAAUUUCUUGUAGGCUUUGUGACCAGGGGGAUUAGCGCUGCUUCCCAAGACAGGUUUAUAUGUGAUUAUGAUCUUCAGGCUUUGCCUAACCAGGUUGAGCAGUUGAUGGAAUGGAAUGAUGUUGAGCGGGUGUUCCUUUGACAUUUCAAGAAAUGUAACCUUGAGUAUACAUCUUCAUAUGUAUAUCUCACACGUUUUCCGCUGCAAAACACUUUGAUUAGGAUAACUCUAUGAUAUGAAGUUGUGAUACGUGUUAUUGGGUAACCACCUUAAUCAGUUCUCAAUUAUGUGUAUGUUUUAUAAGUAUCCAAAUAAUCAUAUAUGAUCCUAGCAUUUUAUCUAUGAGUGACAUUUCCAUAUACUUUAAUGUUAAGUAAUUGUCCAUUUC